CACGCACUGAACUCUUUAGUGUUUCCUUGUGGGGUGCUUCACCUUUCUGCAGGCUGUUGACCUCGCGCUGAUAACAACUCGCUCGCUUUCUCUGUUGCUCUCACUCCGACGCACGCCUCUGACCGUGCUCUCCACACGGCAACAUAUAUUUACGAAGAGAAGCACACAAACAACUGCCACUAGCCCCCCUCCCUCCCUCCCACCUCACCUCCGAAUCGAUAGCGAUGCUCGCUGCGAGUCGCCUUGCCCGCGGCGUUGCCGAGACGGUCACGCGCGAGAGCUUCACCAUAUCCCGUCUUACGAACGGCCUGCGCGUCAUCACAUGCGAAGACGGCAACGGCAUCACCGGCAUGGGGCUUUUCUCCUUGAACGGCCCCAAGUUCGAGGAGGCGGGGAGCUUUGGCGCUGCGGCGGUGAUGGAGUCACUUCCGCUGCGCAGCAACGCGCGCAUGACGACCGAGACGAUUAGCCAGUCGCUCGGUGUCUUCGGCAACGCGUACAAGGUGACCAACAACCGCGAGGCCAUGUCCGUCAUGCUCAUGAUGCCGCGCUACCACCAGAAGGAAGGGCUCGAUGUACUGAACGGGAUGUGGCUGCACCCAACCGAGAACGACGAGGAGUUCGCCGUGGCGAAGGCGCAGACCCUGCACCGCAGCUCUCUCAUGAGUCGAGACGCGACGAGCAUGCUGUUCGAGCUUGUCCACAAGGCCGGCUGGAGCGGUCGUGGGCUCGGCAACCCGCUCUCCCCGACGGAGCAGCAGCUGGAACAGCUGACACUGGAGAGGUUCCACGCCUUCCACCGCCGCUACACCACGCCGGAGCGGACGGUGCUGGCGGCGACGGGUGUGGCGGAUCACAAGGCGUUUGUACAGGAAGCGGAGGUGCGGCUGCAGUUCCCUCAAUCGACGGCGCCAUCCCUCCUUUCGUCUAGCGCAGAGACGGCGAACAAGGCAGCUGCUGCGACAGCUCAGCUUCACCCGUACACGGGCGGCUGCGAGUACGUGCAGAACACGACGGCGCCGGAGUCCAUGAACAAGUUUCAGGAAAAGAACCUUAGCCACAUGGCCCUCUUCUUCCAGGCCAUCCCAAUGGCCCACCCCGACUAUUUCACCUUCUCGGUCAUUCAAACACUGCUGGGCGGCGGCACCUCGUUCAGCUCUGGCGGCCCUGGCAAGGGCAUGCAAACCAAGCUGUUUCGUGAGGUGCUGAACCGGGAGCCGAACCUGCACGGCAUGGAGUGCAUUACGGCGUGGUACAGCGAUGGUGGCUUGAUCGGCCUCUACGGCUCUGCGCCACACGAGCACGUGAGCAACCUCUUAAAGAUCAUGAUUUUCCAGGCGGCGUCGAUUAGCCAGCGCAUCACCCCGGUGCACCUGGAGAUGGCCAAAAACCAGCUAAGCUCGCAGCUCAUCCUGUUGGGGGAGGGGCGUGAACAGUUGCUGAACGACAUGGGCUUCAACCUUCUCGUGCACAACUACACAAUUACGCCGCAGGAGACUAUUCAGGGCAGCGCUCAGGUGACAAUGGCACGUCUCCACGAGGUGAGUGCGCAGCUGGUUGAGCACCCGGUGACGUUUGCCGUGUACGGGGAGACGAAGGGGAUGCCGGAGUACCAUCAGCUAGUCCAGGCUCUGAAGAAGUCGUAUGCGUCCCUGAACAAGAGCACACCGGCGUGAGAACGGAGCGAAAAAAAAAACAACAAAAAAUAAAGAAAAGCAACGGAGAGAUAGGGCAUGUGAUGCUGGUAGCUCACUCGGGGAGGGGGGGAACGAGAGGGUGUUUGACCACGUCGCGCUCUCCGUGACUUUCUUCUUGCCUAUGCCUCUUCGCUCAUGUGCAGCUGUGAAGUGUGCGUUUGUGUGUGUGUGCAUAUGCGCCCCUUGAUUCGCCCUUUUCUAUUCUUUUCGCUUGUUUCCAUCAUCUUCACAGAGAGCAGCUGAAGAAUGUGAUAGCGAGCCGGCAUGUGGAGUCACCCCCCCCUUUUCACCCACUACCUCCUCCGUGCUGUUCGCUGGACACGCAUGCACGCAGCUCCUGCAUGGGGUUUCAGAUUCUUUGUGCGCCCAUCCUUUGGUACGUGCUUGUGCGUGUCGUAUAUGGUGUUUGUGUUUGGUGCGUAUACGUUGGCAGUUGCGGUUAAGCACAAGUUAAUGCGCGAGGUAGCAAGUAUAAUAAUGCGCGGGAGCCCAACC
This 2192-nucleotide unclassified non-coding RNA is filed under the name Leishmania donovani. RNAcentral's name for it is "gene:LdHU3.33.3890(CDS-product:metallo-peptidase_ Clan_ME_Family_M16)". The record is from RNAcentral. Lineage: Eukaryota; Euglenozoa; Kinetoplastea; Trypanosomatida; Trypanosomatidae.